UCCGAGUUGACCCCGGCAGUCUCUUAUGAGUCCCCGCCAUUACGCGCUGGCAACAUAAGACAAGGGUUGCGCUCGUUGCGGGACUUAACCCAACAUCUCACGACACGAGCUGACGACAACCAUGCACCACCUGUGCACAGACCUUGCGGGGAGCCCAUCUCUGGACUUUUCCUGUGCAUGUCAAGCCUUGGUAAGGUUCUUCGCGUUGCAUCGAAUUAAUCCGCAUGCUCCGCCGCUUGUGCGGGCCCCCGUCAAUUCCUUUGAGUUUUAGCCUUGCGGCCGUACUCCCCAGGCGGGGCGCUUAAUGCGUUAGCUGCGGCACGGAGGUCGUGGAAGGACCCCCACACCUAGCGCCCAACGUUUACGGCGUGGACUAC
This 377-nucleotide unclassified non-coding RNA is filed under the name uncultured Nakamurellaceae bacterium. RNAcentral's name for it is "contains 16S-23S intergenic spacer region". The record is from RNAcentral. Lineage: Bacteria; Bacillati; Actinomycetota; Actinomycetes; Nakamurellales; Nakamurellaceae.